Molecule: ribosomal RNA, 389 nt
Filed under: uncultured bacterium
Lineage: Bacteria
Description: bacterial SSU rRNA
Rfam family: Bacterial small subunit ribosomal RNA
Source: RNAcentral
GAUGAACGCUGGCGGCGUGCCUAAUACAUGCAAGUCGAGCGGUAAGGUUCUGCACUUAGUGUUUGACCAGACAGGUCCAAGCGAUUGGAAAUCGUCUGAGCGUGACUCCUUGGCUAAGGGGUCAAGUCGAAUGUUGAGUGUAGAAUACACGAGCGGCGGACGGGUGAGUAACGCGUAAGAAUGUACCCCAAACUGAGGGAUAAGCACCAGAAAUGGUGUCUAANACCGCAUGUGCUCUUCGGAGUAAAGCUUCGGCGGUUUGGGAACAGCUUGCGUCUGAUUAGCUAGUUGGUAAGGUAAUGGCUUACCAAGGCGACGAUCAGUAGCGGGUCUGAGAGGAUGAUCCGCCACACUGGGACUGAGACACGGCCCAGACUCCUACGGGAGGC